Molecule: long non-coding RNA, 213 nt
Filed under: Prunus persica (peach)
Lineage: Eukaryota; Viridiplantae; Streptophyta; Magnoliopsida; Rosales; Rosaceae
Description: long non-coding RNA (PPER_LNC001055)
Source: RNAcentral
AGAAUUUGAAAGGUUACAGAAACUUUAUAUUUUCCUAAACCACCUUGUACCCAGAUAUUAAAUGUUGCCUUCGGAUUAUAUUGGUUGCCUUCGGUUUUGUCAGCAUGCUUAACGGUUGCCCCACGAGUUCCUUGGUACUCGAAUUCGUGUGGAGCGAGUUAUGCGGAUCAGGUGGACUACGGUCCCCUGAAUCCUGCGAGUUGCGGCUCGGAC